Molecule: transfer RNA, 87 nt
Filed under: Paractinoplanes brasiliensis
Lineage: Bacteria; Bacillati; Actinomycetota; Actinomycetes; Micromonosporales; Micromonosporaceae
Description: Actinoplanes brasiliensis tRNA-Leu
Source: RNAcentral
CCUGGUUGUGGUCCAGGGGGUCGCGGGUUCAAGUCCCGUCGAUCACCCCAUCGAGUUGCCCAAGGGCUCGGUCCUCGUGACCGGGCC